UAGCAAUACGGAUGGCGCACGGCGCACGGGUGCGUAACACGUGGGCAAUCUGCCCUCGGAUGGGGGAUAACCCCGCGAAAGCGGGGCUAAUACCGCAUGACAUUCCGGAGACCUCGGUCUUUGGAUUCAAAGGUCGCAAGAUCGUCUGAGGAGGAGCCCGCGCCCGAUUAGCUAGUUGGUGAGGUAACGGCUCACCAAGGCUUUGAUCGGUAGCCGGUCUGAGAGGAUGGCCGGCCACACUGGAACUGAGACACGGUCCAGACUCCUACGGGAGGCAGCAGUGGGGAAUAUUGCGCAAUGGGCGAAAGCCUGACGCAGCGACGCCGCGUGGGGGAUGAAGCUUCUCGGAGUGUAAACCCCUUUCGACCCGGACGAAUGACCCGCAAGGGUUUGACGGUACGGGUAUAAGAAGCCCCGGCUAACUACGUGCCAGCAGCCGCGGUAAUACGUAGGGGGCCAGCGUUGCUCGGAAUUACUGGGCGUAAAGGGUUCGUAGGCGGUGCGGCAAGUUGGGAGUGAAAUCUCUGGGCUUAACCCAGAGGCUGCUUUCAAAACUGCCGUGCUCGAGUGCGAGAGAGGUCAGUGGAAUUGCAGGUGUAGCGGUGAAAUGCGUAGAUAUCUGCAGGAACACCCGUGGCGAANGCGGCUGACUGGAUCGCAACUGACGCUGAGGAACGAAAGCUAGGGGAGCAAACAGGAUUAGAUACCCUGGUAGUCCUAGCCCUAAACCAUCAGGACUUGGGGUGGCCCGCGUAGGCGGGUCGUCCCGUAGCUAACGCGUUAAGUCCUGCGCCUGGGGAGUACGGUCGCAAGACUGAAACUC
RNAcentral lists this ribosomal RNA (823 nucleotides) under uncultured Bacillota bacterium. Its description in RNAcentral is "bacterial SSU rRNA". It matches the Rfam family "Bacterial small subunit ribosomal RNA", at positions 77 to 902 of the family's 1533-position model. Lineage: Bacteria; Bacillati; Bacillota. The record is from RNAcentral.